RNAcentral lists this non-coding RNA (113 nucleotides) under Novibacillus thermophilus. RNAcentral describes it as "SAM-I sequence". It matches the Rfam family "SAM riboswitch aptamer (S box leader)". From Rfam's summary of the family: The SAM riboswitch is found upstream of a number of genes which code for proteins involved in methionine or cysteine biosynthesis in Gram-positive bacteria. The SAM riboswitch acts at the level of transcription termination control. Lineage: Bacteria; Bacillati; Bacillota; Bacilli; Caryophanales; Thermoactinomycetaceae. The record is from Rfam by way of RNAcentral.
UCCUUAUCAAGAGUCGGGGGAGGAACCUGGUCCGAUGAACCCGCGGCAACCAUUACUUGCCCAAAGUAAACGGUGCCAAUUCCAGCAGACUGUGAAGGUCUGAAAGAUGAGGA